Molecule: small nucleolar RNA, 103 nt
Organism: Neltuma alba
Lineage: Eukaryota; Viridiplantae; Streptophyta; Magnoliopsida; Fabales; Fabaceae
Product: small nucleolar RNA R30/Z108
Exons: 1
Source: RefSeq, a predicted model, not a curated record
AGAAUCCACGAUGAGGAUACAUAAGCUCCCUCUUCUGAUAUUUCAAGUUGAGGAAGAUUGCUGGCAGAAUCGAACCUUAUACUCCAUAGCCACCACUGAGUGG